GACGAACGCUGGCGGCGUGCUUAACACAUGCAAGUCGAACGGAUCAAGGGAGCUUGCUUCCUUGGUUAGUGGCGAACGGGUGAGUAACACGUGAGCAAUCUGCCCUUGACUCUGGGAUAACUGCGGGAAACUGUAGCUAAUACCGGAUACGACGCGCGAAGGCAUCUUCUGCGUGUGGAAAGAAUUUCGGUCAGGGAUGAGCUCGCGGCCUAUCAGCUUGUUGGNGAGGUAAUGGCUCACCAAGGCGACGACGGGUAGCCGGCCUGAGAGGGUGACCGGCCACACUGGGACUGAGACACGGCCCAGACUCCUACGGGAGGCAGCAGUGGGGAAUAUUGCACAAUGGGCGAAAGCCUGAUGCAGCAACGCCGCGUGAGGGACGACGGCCUCGGUU
Molecule: ribosomal RNA, 394 nt
Filed under: uncultured bacterium
Lineage: Bacteria
Description: bacterial SSU rRNA
Rfam family: Bacterial small subunit ribosomal RNA
Source: RNAcentral